UACGUAGGGCGCAAGCGUUGUCCGGAAUUAUUGGGCGUAAAGCGCGCGCAGGCGGCCGGUUAAGUCAGGUGUGAAAGGCUGCGGCUCAACCGCAGAGCGGCACCUGAAACUGGUCGGCUUGAGUGCAGGAGAGGGGAGCGGAAUUCCCGGUGUAGCGGUGGAAUGCGUAGAGAUCGGGAGGAACACCAGUGGCGAAGGCGGCUCUCUGGCCUGUAACUGACGCUGAGGCGCGAAAGCGUGGGGAGCAAACAGG
This 253-nucleotide ribosomal RNA is filed under the name uncultured bacterium. RNAcentral describes it as "partial 16S ribosomal RNA". It matches the Rfam family "Bacterial small subunit ribosomal RNA", at positions 524 to 776 of the family's 1533-position model. The record is from RNAcentral.